RNAcentral lists this ribosomal RNA (664 nucleotides) under Polaromonas sp. RNAcentral describes it as "bacterial SSU rRNA". It matches the Rfam family "Bacterial small subunit ribosomal RNA", at positions 82 to 740 of the family's 1533-position model. Lineage: Bacteria; Pseudomonadati; Pseudomonadota; Betaproteobacteria; Burkholderiales; Comamonadaceae. The record is from RNAcentral.
GCAAUACUCGAGAGUGGCGAACGGGUGAGUAAUAUAUCGGAACGUGCCCAGUCGUGGGGGAUAACGUAGAGAAAUUUACGCUAAUACCGCAUACGAUCUAAGGAUGAAAGCGGGGGAUUCGCAAGAACCUCGCGCGAUUGGAGCGGCUGAUAUCAGAUUAGGUUGUUGGUGAGGUAAAAGCUCACCAAGCCGACGAUCUGUAGCUGGUUUGAGAGAACGACCAGCCACACUGGGACUGAGACACGGCCCAGACUCCUACGGGAGGCAGCAGUGGGGAAUUUUGGACAAUGGGCGAAAGCCUGAUCCAGCAAUGCCGCGUGCAGGAAGAAGGCCUUCGGGUUGUAAACUGCUUUUGUACGGAACGAAAAGGCUCUUUCUAAUAAAGAGGGCCCAUGACGGUACCGUAAGAAUAAGCACCGGCUAACUACGUGCCAGCAGCCGCGGUAAUACGUAGGGUGCGAGCGUUAAUCGGAAUUACUGGGCGUAAAGCGUGCGCAGGCGGUUCUAUAAGACAGAUGUGAAAUCCCCGGGCUCAACCUGGGAAUGGCAUUUGUGACUGUAGAGCUAGAGUACGGUAGAGGGGGAUGGAAUUCCGCGUGUAGCAGUGAAAUGCGUAGAUAUGCGGAGGAACACCGAUGGCGAAAGCAAUCCCCUGGACCUGUAC